Molecule: ribosomal RNA, 332 nt
Filed under: uncultured eukaryote
Lineage: Eukaryota
Description: partial 18S ribosomal RNA
Rfam family: Eukaryotic small subunit ribosomal RNA
Source: RNAcentral
CCCUUAGAUGUCCUGGGCUGCACGCGCGCUACACUGGAAGUUACGGAUUGAGAUACUACCUUGUCCGAAAUGGUCCGGGUAAUCACCUAAAAGCUUGUCAUAAUUGGAAUGGAUUAUUGUAACUAGUAAUCCUGAACGAGGAAUUCCUAGUAAGUCCCAGUCAACAGCUGGUACUGAUUACGUCCCUGCCCUUUGCACACACCGCCCGUCGCUACUACUGAUUGGACGUUUAAGCAAGAUUUUUAAACACUGACAGUGUGUAGUUCACGCUAUACUACAGUGAGAAGAAGAAGAUCGAGCUUACUUGUCUAGAGGAAGUAAAAGUCGUAACA